GAUGAACGCUGGCGGCGUGCUUAACAUAUGCCAGUCGAACGAUGAAGCCCAGCUUGCUGGGUGGAUUAGUGGCGAACGGGUGAGUAGCACGUGAGUAACCUGCCCUUGACUCUGGGAUAAGCCUGGGAAACUGGGUCUAAUACUGGAUAUGACUUCUCAUCGCAUGGUGGGGGGUGGAAAGAUUUAUUGGUCUUGGAUGGACUCGCGGCCUAUCAGCUUGUUGGUGAGGUAAUGGCUCACCAAGGCGACGACGGGUAGCCGGCCUGAGAGGGUGACCGGCCACACUGGGACUGAGACACGGCCCAGACUCCUACGGGAGGCAGCAGUGGGGAAUAUUGCACAAUGGGCGCAAGCCUGAUGCAGCGACGCCGCGUGAGGGAUGACGGCCUUCGGGUUGUAAACCUCUUUCAGUAGGGAAGAAGCGAGAGUGACGGUACCUGCAGAAGAAGCGCCGGCUAACUACGUG
RNAcentral lists this ribosomal RNA (466 nucleotides) under uncultured bacterium. RNAcentral describes it as "partial 16S ribosomal RNA". It matches the Rfam family "Bacterial small subunit ribosomal RNA", at positions 28 to 507 of the family's 1533-position model. The record is from RNAcentral.